This 492-nucleotide ribosomal RNA is filed under the name Cordyceps militaris. RNAcentral's name for it is "eukaryotic LSU rRNA". It matches the Rfam family "Eukaryotic large subunit ribosomal RNA", at positions 98 to 600 of the family's 3401-position model. The record is from RNAcentral. Lineage: Eukaryota; Fungi; Ascomycota; Sordariomycetes; Hypocreales; Cordycipitaceae.
GCGGCAACAGCUCAAAUUUGAAAUCUGGCCCCCGGGUCCGAGUUGUAAUUUGUAGAGGAUGCUUUUGGCGAGGUGCCUUCCGAGUUCCCUGGAACGGGACGCCAUAGAGGGUGAGAGCCCCGUCUGGUCGGACACCGAGCCUCUGUAAAGCUCCUUCGACGAGUCGAGUAGUUUGGGAAUGCUGCUCAAAAUGGGAGGUAUAUGUCUUCUAAAGCUAAAUAUAGGCCAGAGACCGAUAGCGCACAAGUAGAGUGAUCGAAAGAUGAAAAGCACUUUGAAAAGAGGGUUAAAAAGUACGUGAAAUUGUUGAAAGGGAAGCGCUUAUGACCAGACUUGGGCCCGGUGAAUCAUCCAGCGUUCUCGCUGGUGCACUUUGCCGGGCACAGGCCAGCAUCAGUUCGGCGCGGGGGACAAAGGUUUCGGGAAUGUGGCUCCCCCGGGAGUGUUAUAGCCCGUUGCGUAAUACCCUGCGCUGGACUGAGGUACGCGCAU